Small nucleolar RNA from Perca flavescens (yellow perch), 137 nucleotides. RefSeq annotates it as small nucleolar RNA SNORA31. NCBI's taxonomy places the organism in Eukaryota, Metazoa, Chordata, Actinopteri, Perciformes, Percidae. The transcript has a single exon. The record is from RefSeq and is a predicted model, not a curated record.
CUGCAUCUUUGACAGCCUGGGCUCUCUGGUUGUGAGAUAUCCUGGGUUUUAAUAUUUCAGAUGCAAUAUUAAAUGUCCCUGCGCUUUCUGCUCGCUUCUUUUCCGUGGCGUCUCAGAUUGAAUCGGGGAGGAUAACU